CAGCGCCGCGGUAAUACGAAGGGUGCAAGCGUUAAUCGGAAUUACUGGGCGUAAAGCGUGCGUAGGCGGUGGUUUAAGUCCGUUGUGAAAGCCCUGGGCUCAACCUGGGAAUUGCAGUGGAUACUGGAUCACUAGAGUGUGGCAGAGGAUAGUGGAAUUUCCGGUGUAGCAGUGAAAUGCGUAGAGAUCGGAAGGAACAUCUGUGGCGAAGGCGACUACCUGGGCCAACACUGACACUGAGGCACGAAAGCGUGGGGAGCAAACAGGAUUAGAUACCCGUGUAGUCCCUGUCUCUUAUACA
RNAcentral lists this ribosomal RNA (301 nucleotides) under uncultured bacterium. RNAcentral's name for it is "partial 16S ribosomal RNA". It matches the Rfam family "Bacterial small subunit ribosomal RNA", at positions 509 to 808 of the family's 1533-position model. The record is from RNAcentral.